GCCUGAGUUACAAUUACGCCUAUUAGCAUGUUAAUCUAAUGACACAAGUACUGUAUGUGUACUUUUUUAAAAACUAAAGAUUAAUAUGCAUGUUUACCCUUUAAGAUAAUUAGGCAAUGUAUGCAAUGCCUAGGCAAACUUUAGGCCUAAUGCGUGUAAAAUCAAUUAAUCAUGUUUUACCAGCUUAGGACCAAUCAGUUUCCUUUAACAUCUUGAACUCUGCUUCUAGUUUUGCCUCUUUGAAGUUCACUCUGUUUUACUAAAUUUUCUGCCCUAUUUUGAAGCAAUUUUGUAAAUUGUGUAUCCGCUUAUUCUCACUGAUGUUUGUUCUACUAUGUUUUCAAACCGCUAGGUGAUCCUUUCUACCCAAGAUUAUGCUAUUUAAAAUACCUAUACUACAUUUGGCCAAGUUACUGUAAUUUCAAUAUCCUUACUCUAUUUUCCAAAACAUGUUUUUUAACGAUUUCUAUCUGCUAUAUACCUCUGAAUCUUACUGCAAUCUUUAGCUAUAUUUUCCGAAAUCUCACUCCUGUCUUUAGUCACUUAGUCUUAGUUGAACCUUAUGCUUUUACUGCUAGGUUGCAAAAAUGUAUCCUCCUGAAACCUACUGUUAUAACUUGAAUAUUAAUGUUUUAAACUCCCAUCUUUGAGACCUUAACUGUGUUUGAGAUGUGCUAAUCAUUUGCUUACUUGUGCUGGGAUCUGUGAGCCUUUAUGUAAC
This 721-nucleotide long non-coding RNA is filed under the name Nicotiana benthamiana. Its description in RNAcentral is "long non-coding RNA (NBEN_LNC020103)". Lineage: Eukaryota; Viridiplantae; Streptophyta; Magnoliopsida; Solanales; Solanaceae. The record is from RNAcentral.